Molecule: long non-coding RNA, 354 nt
Filed under: Nicotiana benthamiana
Lineage: Eukaryota; Viridiplantae; Streptophyta; Magnoliopsida; Solanales; Solanaceae
Description: long non-coding RNA (NBEN_LNC009148)
Source: RNAcentral
GAGGGCGGAACACUGUAAUAAUCAAGGAUGAAAGUUGAAGAUGACGAUAAUUCCGACUGUUCUUCAAACUUUGAUUCGAUCCAUCCAGUUAUCAACGACGGAAAAAUUAAAUCAUGACCUCAAACUCCCCAAUUGACCCAAAUAUCACUGACGCAUCUAAUAUAAAGUGCAUGUUCUAUAUUGAGGUUGCGAUGAAAUUGUCACAUAUAGACUGAAACUGAAAACACAGGCUUCAAUUUCUGAAUGGAAAUCACGGCUUAAUGAGAAGUGGGGAUCGACCUACGUUGAAGAAGGUGUUGCGGUGAUCAGAACACGAAUGAAGAUGACGUCUACGAAUGGUAGCGAAGAUGAGAA